This 758-nucleotide long non-coding RNA is filed under the name Cyanistes caeruleus (blue tit). Its description in RNAcentral is "lncRNA (ENSCCEG00000002101.1)". Lineage: Eukaryota; Metazoa; Chordata; Aves; Passeriformes; Paridae. The record is from RNAcentral.
UUGCUAACCUGUGAUUUUCAGUCUGGAAGGCAAGUGAAUGUCAGGGAGGAGCUGGAGAGUGUGCAAAUAGAGAGUGGCAUACGUUCCUGGCUCGCUGGUACAACACUGAGGCAGAAAGGACCUGUAGCUGCCAAGGGAAGUGGGCAUUUCCUCAAGUGUGGAAAAUGGAGAGCUGACUGGAUCCAUGCUGCAAAGAACUCCUUGUCCACUGGUGGUUGUCCAUAUUAGCAUCAAAGAUCACAAGUUGCAGAGAGAGACCACUAUCCUUCUUGGACCUCCCAAGCAAGUUGCAGGAGCCUGGGGAACAGGGCAGGGGCCUCAGCUCUCCCAGUCAGAGCUCCUGGAGGCAAAGGGAUCAUGCCACAAGAGGACCACUGCGAGGAUUUCUCAGUUCUGGCCAUGCCGCAUGUUAUUACCACUUUUCUUUUCAGGAGCCAUCUCAUGCUGGCAUAUCCAUCUGUUUAUUGUGUUUCCUGUGUUCCUGCAAGGCAGGGCUUUGCUGGCCUUCUGACGGUGUCUGAGUGCAUUCACAGAUGAGAAGAAGGUGUGGAAAAAAUACCCUUUACCUGAAGCAGACUGAGAUUCCUGCAGUUGCUGGGCUGGCAGCCCACAGAUGGAUGAAUUUCCCCAUUCUCUUGUGCUGGAGGCACAAGCUGCAUUUUUGCAGGCUGUGGGAGCCACGGGAUCGUGGGUCUCUGUAAACCUGCUGGAUUUCAAGCAGCAAUAAAGUCCACUUUGAGCCGUGUCUAUCUAUGCCU